RNAcentral lists this ribosomal RNA (521 nucleotides) under Lodderomyces parapsilosis. RNAcentral describes it as "Candida parapsilosis partial large subunit ribosomal RNA". It matches the Rfam family "Eukaryotic large subunit ribosomal RNA", at positions 54 to 581 of the family's 3401-position model. Lineage: Eukaryota; Fungi; Ascomycota; Pichiomycetes; Serinales; Debaryomycetaceae. The record is from RNAcentral.
AGGAAAAGAAACCAACAGGGAUUGCCUUAGUAGCGGCGAGUGAAGCGGCAAAAGCUCAAAUUUGAAAUCUGGCACUUUCAGUGUCCGAGUUGUAAUUUGAAGAAGGUAUCUUUGGGUCUGGCUCUUGUCUAUGUUUCUUGGAACAGAACGUCACAGAGGGUGAGAAUCCCGUGCGAUGAGAUGUCCCAGACCUAUGUAAAGUUCCUUCGAAGAGUCGAGUUGUUUGGGAAUGCAGCUCUAAGUGGGUGGUAAAUUCCAUCUAAAGCUAAAUAUUGGCGAGAGACCGAUAGCGAACAAGUACAGUGAUGGAAAGAUGAAAAGAACUUUGAAAAGAGAGUGAAAAAGUACGUGAAAUUGUUGAAAGGGAAGGGCUUGAGAUCAGACUUGGUAUUUUGUAUGUUACUCUCUCGGGGGUGGCCUCUACAGUUUACCGGGCCAGCAUCAGUUUGAGCGGUAGGAUAAGUGCAAAGAAAUGUGGCACUGCUUCGGUAGUGUGUUAUAGUCUUUGUCGAUACUGCCAG